Long non-coding RNA from Nerophis ophidion (straightnose pipefish), 364 nucleotides. RefSeq lists it as uncharacterized. Lineage: Eukaryota; Metazoa; Chordata; Actinopteri; Syngnathiformes; Syngnathidae. The record is from RefSeq and is a predicted model, not a curated record. The transcript has 3 exons.
CAAUUUGCAGUUUCAACGUCUGUUCCAAGGAGGGUGUGGACAAGCAGUCAGAGCAAGAAAUGAUGAGCCAUUGACGUGUGGAACAAGGUUUGCGACACUUGAUGAGGCAGAGCAAAUGCAGAAGAACAAAACAAAGCAAACAGGACAUGCGUGAACAAACGUUGACAGUCUCUGUCAGUCACGGCGUAUGCCACCAUGCGACUCCAAGGGAUAUGGUGAAAACUCUCAACCCAAAAUACAUACCACCUUCCAGGGACUACCAGGCAAACACAUUGAUCCCGGCAUGGUACAAGAAGAAUCGGAAUCGAGAAUCGUCAGGAAUCGGAAUCGAAACAAAGAAUCGGAAUCGUUCGAAUUCAAACGA